AACGAACGCUGGCGGCAGGCUUAACACAUGCAAGUCGAGCGCCCCGCAAGGGGAGCGGCAGACGGGUGAGUAACGCGUGGGAAUCUACCCAGUUCUACGGAAUAACACAGGGAAACUUGUGCUAAUACCGUAUACGCCCUACGGGGAAGAUUAUCGGAUUGGAUGAGCCCGCGUUGGAUUAGCUAGUUGGUGGGGUAAUGGCCUACCAAGGCGACGAUCCGAUAGCUGGUCUGAGAGGAUGAUCAGCCACACUGGGACUGAGACACGGCCCAGACUCCUACGGGAGGCAGCAGUGGGGGAAUAUUGGAC
RNAcentral lists this ribosomal RNA (309 nucleotides) under uncultured bacterium. Its description in RNAcentral is "bacterial SSU rRNA". It matches the Rfam family "Bacterial small subunit ribosomal RNA", at positions 29 to 369 of the family's 1533-position model. The record is from RNAcentral.